GUGGGUGUAGCUCAACGGUUAGAGCACCGGGCUGUGGACCCGGGGGUUGAGGGUUCGAAUCCCUUCACUCACCCCA
Molecule: transfer RNA, 76 nt
Filed under: Deltaproteobacteria bacterium
Lineage: Bacteria; Pseudomonadati; Myxococcota; Myxococcia
Description: tRNA-His
Rfam family: tRNA
About the family: Transfer RNA (tRNA) molecules are approximately 80 nucleotides in length. Their secondary structure includes four short double-helical elements and three loops (D, anti-codon, and T loops).
Source: RNAcentral